CUGUGUCACAGGUGUCCAUAUUUUGGUAGAUUCAUAUUCAAUGAUUUAUUGGUGUCUCACCACAAACAAAUUAUAAUAAGAAUCACAAAAGCACAUACAAAAUUUAUAACUUUCGUCUGCGUGCACCAACCUAAAAUAAAUAUUUAAGCAUAUUUUAAAGAAGUAUAUGUAGUGCAUACACAUCAACAACUACUUUCUCUCUUGAAUAAAAUGGCGAAAACCCAAGUUUUUGUUAUAUCACCGAAGUUGAACAACUUUGUGCUCGGUUACUAUUUGACAAGGAUUGACCAACAAUACACAAAUAUUGUUAUGGCUUCGUCUUCUUCCGGCUUGUGGAAAUUUGCAGCAAUGUCAAUUAAUACUUGGAAGUCACGUGUAGGAAGGAUUUGGACUUUCGAAUAUUUUAGCCUCCAGCAUCAAAGACGAUACAUAAAUUGUUGAAUUGCGCAUCUGGUGCAGUAAAAUAUGUAAUUUAGUGUUAUUCCACAAGUUUACUCUUAAC
Molecule: long non-coding RNA, 502 nt
Filed under: Mytilus galloprovincialis (Mediterranean mussel)
Lineage: Eukaryota; Metazoa; Mollusca; Bivalvia; Mytilida; Mytilidae
Source: RNAcentral